CGUGGGUAAUCUGCCUUGGAGAUUGGGAUAACCUGCCGAAAGGCGGGCUAAUACCGGAUACGUUCCACCGGAUUGUGGUUUGGUGGAAGGAACGCAGCUCGUAAGGGUUGCGCUCUAAGAUGAGCCCGCGGUCCAUCAGGUAGUUGGUGAGGUAACGGCUCGCCAAGCCUAAGACGGAUAGCUGGUCUGAGAGGAUGAUCAGCCACACUGGAAUUGAGACAUGGUCCAGACUCCUACGGGAGGCAGCAGUGGGGAAUUUUGGUCAAUGGACGAAAGUUUGAAUUAGCGACGCCGCGUGGGUGAUGAAGGCCUUCGGGUUGUAAAGCCCUGUCGGAGGGGACGAAGUCCCGGUGUAAUGAACCGGGGUGACGGUACUCUCAAAGGAAGCACCGGUUAACUCUGUGCCAGUAGUUGUGGUAAUACAGAGGGUGCUAGCGUUGUUCGGAAUUACUGGGCGUAAAGCGCGUGUAGGCGGUUUGUUAAGUUUCGUGUGAAAGUCCUGGGUUUAACCCAGGAAGUGCGCGGAAAACUGGCAGACUGGAGUGUCGGAGAGGAUGGCGGAAUUCCCGGUGUAGAGGUGAAAUUCGUAGAUAUCGGGAGGAACACCUGUGGUGAAGGCGGCCAUCUGGAUGACGACUGACGCUGAGAUGCGAAAGCGUGGGUAGUAAACAGGAUUAGAUACCCUGGUAGUCCACGCUGUAAAUGAUGGAUGCUAGAUGUCGCGGGUAUUGAUCCCUGCGGUGUCGAUGUUAAUGUAUUAAGCAUCCCGCCUGGGGAGUAUGGCCGUAAGGUUAAAACUCAAAGGAAUUGACGGGGGCCCGCACAAGCGGUGGUGCAUGUGGUUUAAUUCGACCAUGCGAAGAACCUUACCUGGGUUCGAACGGCACUGGAACACGGCAGAGAUGUCGUGGCCCGUAAGGGUCGGUGUCGAGGUGCUGUAUGGCUGUCGUCAGCUCGUGUUGUGAGAUGUUGGGUUAAGUCCCGCAACGAGCGCAACCCCUGCGGUUAGUUGCCAGCGAGUUAAGUCGGGCACUCUAAUCGGACUGCCGGUGUUAAACCGGAGGAAGGCGGGGAUGACGUCAAGUCCUCAUGGCCUUUAUGCCCAGGGCUACACACGUGCAACAAUGGUCGGUAUAGAGGGCUGCAACCCCGUGAGGGUGAGCCAAUCCCAAAAAACCGGCCUCAGUUCAGAUUGCAGUCUGUAAUUCGACUGCAUGGAGGCGGAAUCGCUAGUAAUCGCGGAUUAGUAUGCCGCGGUGAAUACGUUCCCGGGCCUUGUAUAUAUCGCCCGUCACACCAUGGGAGUCAGAUGCUCCAGAAGUGGCUGAGCUAACCCGUAAGGGAGGCAGGUCCCCAAGGAGUGCCUGGUAACUGGGGUGAAGUCGUAAUAAGGUA
Molecule: ribosomal RNA, 1395 nt
Filed under: metagenome
Description: bacterial SSU rRNA
Rfam family: Bacterial small subunit ribosomal RNA
Source: RNAcentral